CGGACGGGUGAGUAAUGCUUAGGAAUCUGCCUAUUAGUGGGGGACAACAUUCCGAAAGGAAUGCUAAUACCGCAUACGCCCUACGGGGGAAAGCAGGGGAUCUUCGGACCUUGCGCUAAUAGAUGAGCCUAAGUCAGAUUAGCUAGUUGGUGGGGUAAAGGCCUACCAAGGCGACGAUCUGUAGCGGGUCUGAGAGGAUGAUCCGCCACACUGGGACUGAGACACGGCCCAGACUCCUACGGGAGGCAGCAGUGGGGAAUAUUGGACAAUGGGCGAAAGCCUGAUCCAGCCAUGCCGCGUGUGUGAAGAAGGCCUUUUGGUUGUAAAGCACUUUAAGCGAGGAGGAGGCUACUUGGAUUAAUACUCUAGGAUAGUGGACGUUACUCGCAGAAUAAGCACCGGCUAACUCUGUGCCAGCAGCCGCGGUAAUACAGAGGGUGCGAGCGUUAAUCGGAUUUACUGGGCGUAAAGCGUGCGUAGGCGGCUUUUUAAGUCGGAUGUGAAAUCCCUGAGCUUAACUUAGGAAUUGCAUUCGAUACUGGGAAGCUAGAGUAUGGGAGAGGAUGGUAGAAUUCCAGGUGUAGCGGUGAAAUGCGUAGAGAUCUGGAGGAAUACCGAUGGCGAAGGCAGCCAUCUGGCCUAAUACUGACGCUGAGGUACGAAAGCAUGGGGAGCAAACAGGAUUAGAUACCCUGGUAGUCCAUGCCGUAAACGAUGUCUACUA
RNAcentral lists this ribosomal RNA (724 nucleotides) under Acinetobacter johnsonii. Its description in RNAcentral is "bacterial SSU rRNA". It matches the Rfam family "Bacterial small subunit ribosomal RNA", at positions 99 to 818 of the family's 1533-position model. Lineage: Bacteria; Pseudomonadati; Pseudomonadota; Gammaproteobacteria; Moraxellales; Moraxellaceae. The record is from RNAcentral.